Molecule: ribosomal RNA, 251 nt
Filed under: uncultured bacterium
Lineage: Bacteria
Description: partial 16S ribosomal RNA
Rfam family: Bacterial small subunit ribosomal RNA
Source: RNAcentral
CUCGUUAGCGGCGGACGGGUGAGUAACGCGUGGGUGAUCUAGCCUGGUGGUGGGGGAUAACUGUCCGAAAGGGUGGCUAAUCCCGCAUGAGUUCCUUGGGGAGACCUAGGGAGGAAAGCUUCUUUUGGGGAGCGCCAUAGGGGGGGCCCGCGUCCCAUUAGGUGGUUGGUGGGGUAACGGCCUACCAAGCCUGGGAUGGGUAGCUGGUCUGAGAGGAUGGCCGGCCACACUGGGACUGAGAGACGGCCCAG